CAGCUGCGUCGGGUGUGUUGUGUGAAGUCUUCUUCGCGCCAUUGUUACGAAUGAGAAGCUAGUGAACCGCUGCACUCCGUUUGGCGUGACCUAGAGUUCACAGGUCUGCACCACAAGCCACUGAGCAUCUUCCCAUCUCUGAGCAGACAUCAGCCUGGAAAAGAAAACAUCUGCAGAAAUGAACCCGUGCGUCACUGGAAACAACACUACUCCGCCUUCCAUGCAGGAUGUGCUCCAGAAGAAUGGAGAUGGAGUCCCCAGUCCCAUUCCUAUAGGGGCAGAGAAGUGCUUGCGGGACACCCCCGGAACCUCAGGAGCGAAGGGGAAGGAGGACUGUGCAGGAACGUGUGGCACACACCAGAUGAAAUCGACGGUGUUGAUGAAGGAUGGCCUGGCAUCCAGAUUUGAAGAAGGAACUCCGUGUGUCUCAAGCUCUUCUGAGGAUCCACCUCUGACAGGAAGUGAGCCUGAUGGUUCUGACCUGGAGACUUAUGAGGACCCUGAGUUGUACCCAGGGGAGGAAGAUUCAUAUGUCUGGAGCAAGUCGGAACUGACACGUUCUGAAGGCCCCCUUGGAUCACUUGAAUGGUGCCCCGUGCCCCCUGAAGAGUUGACUAAGGCAUUUGAUUUCUGAAGAAACAACUCAGGAAACCAAGAAGCAAAGGAAAUGGCCCAGGCCUGUAAGCCGAGCUUCCAGGACAACUGAGGUGGAAGUGUUGCUUGCCUCCAGUAGUUUGAGUUAAACCUGUCUUGAAGAGCUAACCCUGUUUUAUAAAAGAAAAGACAAUAAAUUCUCAAAUGUAA
Molecule: long non-coding RNA, 804 nt
Organism: Jaculus jaculus (lesser Egyptian jerboa)
Lineage: Eukaryota; Metazoa; Chordata; Mammalia; Rodentia; Dipodidae
Exons: 2
Source: RefSeq, a predicted model, not a curated record